AGUGAACGCUGGCGGUAGGCCUAACACAUGCAAGUCGAACGGCAGCACAGUAAGAGCUUGCUCUUACGGGUGGCGAGUGGCGGACGGGUGAGGAAUACAUCGGAAUCUACUUUUUCGUGGGGGAUAACGUAGGGAAACUUACGCUAAUACCGCAUACGACCUACGGGUGAAAGCAGGGGAUCUUCGGACCUUGCGCGAUUGAAUGAGCCGAUGUCGGAUUAGCUAGUUGGCGGGGUAAAGGCCCACCAAGGCGACGAUCCGUAGCUGGUCUGAGAGGAUGAUCGGCCACGCUGGAACUGAGACACGGUCCAGACUCCUACGGGAGGCAGCAGUGGGGAAUAUUGGACAAUGGGCGCAAGCCUGAUCCAGCCAUACCGCGUGGGUGAAGAAGGCCUUCGGGUUGUAAAGCCCUUUUGUUGGGAAAGAAAAGCAGCAGGUUAAUACCACGCUGUUCUGACGGUACCCAAAGAAUAAGCACCGGCUAACUUCGUG
RNAcentral lists this ribosomal RNA (492 nucleotides) under uncultured bacterium. Its description in RNAcentral is "partial 16S ribosomal RNA". It matches the Rfam family "Bacterial small subunit ribosomal RNA", at positions 29 to 507 of the family's 1533-position model. The record is from RNAcentral.